ACGAACGCUGGCGGCAGGCUUAACACAUGCAAGUCGAACGCCCCGCAAGGGGAGUGGCAGACGGGUGAGUAACGCGUGGGAAUCUACCCAUCUCUACGGGAUAGCUCCGGGAAACUGGAAUUAAUACCGUAUACGUCCUGAGGGAGAAAGAUUUAUCGGGGAUGGAUGAGCCCGCGUUGGAUUAGCUAGUUGGUGGGGUAAAGGCCUACCAAGGCGACGAUCCAUAGCUG
This 230-nucleotide ribosomal RNA is filed under the name Aurantimonas sp. ISO133_OTU2237. RNAcentral describes it as "partial 16S ribosomal RNA". It matches the Rfam family "Bacterial small subunit ribosomal RNA", at positions 29 to 289 of the family's 1533-position model. Lineage: Bacteria; Pseudomonadati; Pseudomonadota; Alphaproteobacteria; Hyphomicrobiales; Aurantimonadaceae. The record is from RNAcentral.